Molecule: ribosomal RNA, 507 nt
Filed under: uncultured bacterium
Lineage: Bacteria
Description: partial 16S ribosomal RNA
Rfam family: Bacterial small subunit ribosomal RNA
Source: RNAcentral
GACGAACGCUGGCGGCGUGCCUAAUACAUGCAAGUCGAACGCAUUUUCUUUCACCGUAGCUUGCUACACCGAAAGAAAAUGAGUGGCGAACGGGUGAGUAACACGUGGGUAACCUGCCCAUUAGCGGGGGAUAACACUUGGAAACAGGUGCUAAUACCGCAUAAUUCCAUUUACCGCAUGGUAAAUGGAUGAAAGGCGCUUUUGCGUCACUGAUGGAUGGACCCGCGGUGCAUUAGCUAGUUGGUGGGGUAACGGCCUACCAAGGCUGCGAUGCAUAGCCGACCUGAGAGGGUGAUCGGCCACACUGGGACUGAGACACGGCCCAGACUCCUACGGGAGGCAGCAGUAGGGAAUCUUCGGCAAUGGACGCAAGUCUGACCGAGCAACGCCGCGUGAGUGAAGAAGGUUUUCGGAUCGUAAAACUCUGUUGUUAGAGAAGAACAAGGAUGAGAGUGGAAAGUUCAUCCCUUGACGGUAUCUAACCAGAAAGCCACGGCUAACUACGUG